GACGAACGCUGGCGGCGUGCUUAACACAUGCAAGUCGAACGGAAAGGCCCUGCUUUUGUGGGGUGCUCGAGUGGCGAACGGGUGUGUAACACGUGAGUAACCUGCCCCUGACUUUGGGAUAACUUCAGGAAACUGGGGCUAAUACCGGAUAGGAGCUCCUGCUGCAUGGUGGGGGUUGGAAAGUUUCGGCGGUUGGGGAUGGACUCGCGGCUUAUCAGCUUGUUGGUGGGGUAGUGGCUUACCAAGGCUUUGACGGGUAGCCGGCCUGAGAGGGUGACCGGCCACAUUGGGACUGAGAUACGGCCCAGACUCCUACGGGAGGCAGCAGUGGGGAAUAUUGCACAAUGGGCGGAAGCCUGAUGCAGCAACGCCGCGUGCGGGAUGACGGCCUUCGGGUUGUAAACCGCUUUCGCCUGUGACGAAGCGUGAGUGACGGUAAUGGGUAAAGAAGCACCGGCUAACUACGUG
This 468-nucleotide ribosomal RNA is filed under the name uncultured bacterium. RNAcentral's name for it is "partial 16S ribosomal RNA". It matches the Rfam family "Bacterial small subunit ribosomal RNA", at positions 28 to 507 of the family's 1533-position model. The record is from RNAcentral.